CCCUUAGAUGUUCUGGGCCGCACGCGCGCUACACUGAUGCAUUCAACGAGUCUAAAACCUGCUCUGAUAGGGGUGGGUAAUCUUUUGAAUGUGCAUCGUGAUUGGGAUAGAUGAUUGAAAUUUUUCAUCUUCAACGAGGAAUGCCUAGUAAACGCAAGUCAUCAGCUUGCAUUGAUUACGUCCCUGCCCUUUGUACACACCGCCCGUCGCUCCUACCGAUUGAAUGAUCCGAUGAAUAUCAUGGAUUGAGGAUGCAAGUAGGUUCACCUAUCUUCAUCUUCGAGAAGUGAAGUAAAUCUUAUCAUUUAGAGGAAGGAGAAGCCGUAACA
RNAcentral lists this ribosomal RNA (329 nucleotides) under uncultured eukaryote. RNAcentral describes it as "partial 18S ribosomal RNA". It matches the Rfam family "Eukaryotic small subunit ribosomal RNA", at positions 1470 to 1796 of the family's 1831-position model. The record is from RNAcentral.